AUCCAGUGAGAGCCGUGGGGAGGGACCUGCCUGGGUUCCCCUGUGGCCCGCUGGGCUUUCCUAGCUGUAGAGCCCAAUUACGCAGCCUUUCCCUGGUCCGGGCGUGCUGCCUCUCCCCCCAGGGUCCUUGCCCCAGCUCGGCUGGGAGCAAGGGCAGAUGGGCAUUGGGAGUUAGCCCCAAAUCCCCCCUCUCCACCCUGCCUUUGUGAGUGGCAGCCUCGUGCAGAGAAGUGACGUAUAGAAAGUGCCCUUUAAAUUGAGGAGUUGUCCAAAACGGGGCUGGCUUUCAAAGCACAUUUUUGGAUCAGAAAUCCCGGAAUAAGAAAAUUCUGAACGCAGAACAAAGCGCAAGAGCCUGCCACAACAGCACAUCAAAGGCAGACAGACAUCCCUAAUGAACUCCCAAGAAUGCAGUCCUUCUCAGAAGAGCAAUUGGAUAGCCUGCCAGGACUAAGCUGCCCAGGUUUGGUUCAGGGCUGAAGCUGUUUGCUAGUCAUGGAGAGUAAAUGCUCACAAAUCAUCUGGGAGGUACGGACAAGAGAAGCAAGGUCCGGGGAAGCUGACUUGCCUAAGACUUGGGAGGUUGUUGUUAUCGGCCAUAGUUUUCAUUGACUACGGAGUCAAACUGUAUUCCUUUCCUGAACUGACAGAGCAUGACUGGGAAAUUCCAGAAGAAGGAAAUCUGUGGAGACAUAAGCAGGUCAUUGGGUGCCUGGAGCUGAGGAAUGGGGUCAGUCUGAAAUGGACACUGGCAAGUUUGUUGGAACGAUGGAAGUGUUGUAGAACCAAAUGGUGGUGAUGGUUAUACAGUUGUAUCGGAGGCGGGGGCGCGGCGCAGGCUGCUUCUGUACUUCAGCCUAGUUGGCGUCCAGCUUGGCCAUUUCCUGUACGUAGAUGCCUAUACUCUCGCUGUCAAAAAGCACGAAAUACACCGUUUUGAUGGAAGAGGACAUCGUUGACACGAAGUAACUGGAGAUGGCCUUCAGAAUCAGCUGAGCUGCCGUCUGCUUUGGAAAGCCAUUCCUGCAGGAGAGAAGGGGGCUCAGCAACCAGGGGCCGCCGUGGCCAUGGGCCUGCCGCCCUGCUGCCCUCCCUCCCGGAGGCCCCAGGGCUGGGUGCUGUGCUUCGCCUCGAGGGGCCUCAGUGCCUGCGAGGGCUGCUCACACACAGGGGAAGGGCCAAGCAACAAGCACAUACACACGACUUGUGUCUCCUGCGUGGAGUCUCCCAAGGGUAGUAUCUGCAGUCUUCCAGAGCCCCCAGCCUGUGGACCAUUGUAUCCAAAGUGCUGGGCCAGCCUGCCGGCUUAGGCCACACCCCUCCUUCAGAUGGGGUGCCUGCUGCCAGGCAACCACAGCGUAAAGAAAAAAAUGCAGCCAAGGGACCGUAGCUGUUCUGGACCACGCAGGCCGCCAGGAAGGAGUGGGGAAGGUGAUUCCUUUCUUUAUGCUUUCAGGGCUCCAGAAUGUUUUCUCGUGGCCAUAGUGAGCGGCGCUUGUAGCAAAAUGGAGCAUAGCAGCAGCUGUUCUCAUGGCAGUGCUUUACACACCACACCCGGAGCCCUCAAAUCAGGGGCAGCUGUGUCGCUGCAGAGGCCCAGAUGGCCUCCCGUCCUCAGGAGGGCCGAGCAGCAGGGCAGUUAGAGGUUCAGGCGGUGGAGCCACACAGGAUUUGAGUCCAGGCCCUGCCUCUGUGUCUUGUUUGUCAUCCGGGGAAAUGGGGUAGGUAAGCAAGGCACCUGUUAUCCCUGGGGGCUGUGAGUAUUGAACAAGACAAUGUGCAGAACAUCCUCAAUUGGUAAUGGCGUCUAUAGAACAGGCAGUCUGGCAGCAUCUUUCUAGAGGCUCAUGUGGUACAAAACUGUCUUCCUCCCGGGCCCCGUGAUCGCUGUCACCACUGCACUUUCCCUGUGCCGACAAUGUCGGCCUCAGGCCCCCAGAAGGCCAUCGGGGUCAGCGAUGACUACUGGCACGCAUGGUAUGGCAGGGUGACUCAGGGUCGCUGGUGCUGUGUGGGCCAGCUUCAGAGGCAUCACUGGUCUGUGGGGUCUCUCUCAUCUCCCGGCUUCCUGGCUGGUUGGGGUCCCUGCUGGUUGCUUCCCUGCAGCCGUCCCCGGUGGCCAUCCCUGCUUGGCCAAGUCUUUGGGCCCACCUCCCCUAGCAACAGUCACUCUGUCCACCUUCUGGAGAAGACCAGAUGCCCCCUCCCCCAACGCACAGUAGAGUAAGGGGAAUGGGGCUUCCCUUGUAGUGUUAGAUUUGGGUUUGAAGCCCAGCUGCCCUGGGGCAGGGGCCUUAACCUCUCCAAGCAUUAGUCUCCUUGACGUGGGUACACGGGGUGCUGAUGCCAAGAGGCAGGUGUCCCUCAUAUUCCCAUUUAGGUCCCAUGGGGCCUGCCAGGGGCCAUGGUUAAGGCAUGUGCCUUAAGUUACUCUGCAGGCAAGUGUCCUAGACUCCAGCCUUUUGGUCUUGAGCCAACUAAGGAGCUUCCCCUGAAGUCAUUUCAGUUGUCUUCAGCCUCAGUUUCUCUAGACUAGUGAAAGGGGACCACAUGAGCUGUUGCACCCUUUGGGUCAGCCUGCUCAGUGAUGGCUGGGGGCUACAUACUGGUUGUCUGUUCUUGCAUUCUACCUGGACCACAGGGGUUCUGGGUUCACAAGGGCCAUGUCCGAUAAGGGAUUGUCAUGCCUCCAGCCCUGCUGGGCCCUCACCUUUGAUGGGGCAUCACUAAGUGUCUCUGUUAUCAGUGAGCUCACCUGCAGGGCUGGCCACAGCAGGCACACAGGACUCUAAGCCAAGAGCUGUGUUGCACAGCCUGAUCAGGGACCCUGGAAGCUCCUGUGGGGAGAGGCUAUGUAUCGGGGGUUGGAGGAGUCCAGGAAGAUUCUUCUGGAGGAGACAGACUGGCAGCUUGCCUUUGAAGGCAGAACAGGAUUAAAGGUGGAUUCUAGAUGGACUCUGGUUUUUGCAUGGGACUGGUCCACCUGUCUAAUUGUCCUGGCGGUUUGCAAGAGGGUAGGGCUGGAUGUCACAAAAGAUUGAGUGACUUUAGGAAAGUGUGUCCCUGUGUGGUCAUUUUUUCUGGUAGGAUUAGGUUUCCCUCUCACGGUGCUCCUGUGCCUUUCCAUUUUCCAUGUUCUAUGUAGCUUUGAGCAAGUGCCUUUGUCAAGCUUGGCUGCCUGAAGGCCACUCCCUCCAGAGGCAGAGACCAGGGCAGCAGCUGAGAGCAGUGGGCUCCACUUCCAGAGGGCAUGGUGGGGGGGGAUGGACUGGGGAGCACAGCCCCCGUGUGGCCUGUAGCCUUCUUUCCAGAUGUUCUUGUCUUAGGCUAGUAGGUAAUUCUGCCCGUUCUGUUUGGUUUCUUCCUAUCUCUUCUAAAGCCAAUUCUCAAGGUGGAGGGAGGCUGACGGCUGGGCCCAGGGAAGUCAGGGACUUCCCCAGUGGGGUUUCUGAGCUUCCCUAAAACCUCCUCCUGUACAUCACCCUCAAGCAGUGGGGCGAUCCUCUGGUGGAGAGCAAAUGGGGUCUGGAAGGGGCUCCAUGCCUCUCAUCUUGGCCAAGGACUUGCCCGAAAAUUCGGGCUCUCCCCCGUCUAAGUCGUGUCACCUCAGGGGAGCGAGUUAACCCCUCUCAGCUUCCUUUUUAUUUUUUCUUUUAGUGGAAUUAAUGACAGUGCUCACCCUGUAAGGGUGUUGUGAGAUAAUGCAGAUCAAGGGUUUAGCACAGUACGUGGGACUCAAUGAAUACCCAUAAAUGGUAGCUUGAAAAAAAAUGAACUGGACUUGAAGCUCAUAAAUCUACAGAGAGUUUAAUCAAAGUUCCAAACUACCCAUUCCCUAUAUCCUACCCCUCCAGAGAGGGGGUCGCCCCCUAAUGUCACACAGAGCUGAGAGAGUGGGGGUAUCCAUGAAUGUUGUGACCAUAGUACCCAAGGACAGUCUCCCUGAGGUCAGGGUCUGGCCUCCGGGGGGCUACAGGGAGAGGGCAUAAGGGUGGGAUGGCCCUCCACAUGCUGGGCCUUGGCUGAGAGAAAGUGACCCCUCUGCUCCUUGCCAACAUGUUUGCAUUUCUAUUAUUUUCAUUCCAACCCGACUUUUAGGCCGGAGACACUGGAUGCCACAAACAAGCUUUUUAUUUCCCCUCCUAAAACCCACUGUGAUUUACAGGCCGGCUCUGGUGUAAUCCUAAUCUUUACUCAUGAAAGAGAGGGCAGCUGUUUACAUGGCUCUGUGGGGCAAGGUCUGCCUGACAGAUGUGGGGCCGCUGGCAUUGCACAUGUGCUUGCCUUUGGCAUUCUGCCCUCUUAAAAGCUUUCAAUGGAUUGUUUUUAAAAACUUCUUACUCCAUGAAAAAUGUAGAGAAUUACUUUUAUGCUUCAAUUAAAAGUUUCCCAAUAGCUAUAUGAAAGAAUAUGAAAUUAUUACCUCCAAUAAAGGCUCCUGUUGCUUCUUUCUUCGGAAGCACUUUCAUCAGAGCAGAUCAAAGUGCAUCCGAAGCACUAAUUGAGCCUCAGGACCAUCUGUGAGGGAGGGCCAUCCCCAAAGCCAUGCUCACUGAUAAGGGAGGCCACGGACAGAGAGGCUAACUCGUUUAGCAAAGGUCACACAGCAGCACUGUGCCAAAGAACAGACCGUCUACAGGAUGUGGAAGAAGCAGGAAGCUGGCUACUUAAACUCUGAUUCAGAAGCACUUUGUCAAAAAAAGGUUCGGAAUCAACUCUGGCACCCAUUACACAUCUCCCUAGUUCUGGGGAAAUUUCAAGCUAGGGGCGGGGCGGGGGGGGUGUGCUGACGACCUUACAAUGGUGGCUUUUGUCUUUGCCACCGGCUGUGACAGCCAACUGACAGCAGCCUGACAGCAAAUGGCUUUCAAUGGUCCCUCUCCUUUAGCUUUUCUUUUAAGAGACCCUUAAAUGGUGUUGCAAAGUGAUGUUCAACAUAGGCUCUUGGCAAAAGAGAACAGGAUUUAAAAGCACAGACCGGAAGUGUGGACGGCACCCAAACCAACACGUGUCAUCACAUACCUCUGGAUGUCCCUCACUUUGGCAGUGAAAUGGCACUCAGCGUACAGGGUAGGGAGACUGUGGGCAUGCAUGAGGGUGGGGCGCUGGCAUGAGCUAUCACUGUCCCCUGAGGGCCCCUCUCCCCCCCCCCCCACAUACUGUGGGAACAGGGCAGCUUGGGCAGACCUCCUGGUGCCAUGUGAUAGGAAGCCUGCCCAGGGCUAGCUCUGUCACUUGAGGUGUGGAACCCCAGUGGCAGCAGUGUUCAGAGAGGCAUCAUUACAAAGCCUGCCCAAGAUGGCACUCGCAAACUCUACUCUUUGCUCCUCGUGGGUUCGGAGGGGAAGUGCUUUGAAAAGAGGUGCUUUCUCUAAACAUGAGGAAGGGGGUUGAGGAUGGUCACCCUGUGCGGCCUGAAGUGUCAAAGGAAGCCGGUAUAUGGCCGCCACACAGCCCUGCCUGGGCACCGGGAGGGUCCGAUGGCAGAGACCCAAGUGGGCGCACAGUCUGGAUCGGAUGCCCCAGGUGCAACCACGGCCAAUACAUAGCCCUGGGUUAUGGCCCUCUUGGGCCCAAGAUGUCCACAGCUGCAGCCUCUGGUGCCAAAUCCAGAGUGUGAGGCAUGAGGCACAGACCGGGACAGGGAGGGCCCCAUGAUGUGAUGGGAAGUGGGACACCACCCCUGUAUCAUGGCACGGAGUUCCCAAAGCACUCUCCCUUCUCAGAGCUCUAAUUUCUUUUAAUGCACACCCAGAAUUACUGGGGGCUACUUCAGCGCUGGAAGCCAGAGCAGACCCAGCCCUAUGUCACUGUCACAGAAGUGUCCACCUUGCACGAGCCAGACAGCAGGAUACAUGGAGACAGAGCUGGCAGGUUGGGGGGGGGGGGGGGGGGGCGGCGGCGAGUGAAGGAUGCCAGAGAUACAAAGGUAAGGGGCAGAGGCAUGCUGUGGCUGGGAAGGUGCUCCUGGAAAGAAGGUCCUGGCUUUCACACCUCCCCUGUCCUCUCCACUUCCCUCAUAUCUGAGUCUUCGUGUCCUGCCAGGUUCACUCUCUAAACCGCCAUCUCUGAUGGUCCCACUACACCCUGAAGUCACUUUCUAUGCUGACAUCUGCUGUCACAAAGGAAAUUUGAUAUGUUCCUCAGUCUUCCUGUCUCACUCCGUCUCUUCAAUUGCUGUUCACCAUUGCUUAAUGUUUGUAUUCUUUCCCCUCCUGUGCUUUGGGUCUUCUCGACUAAAGCAGAUGGCUCGAAAACAGCCUUAGCUGACCGUGCACAAGUCAGAGCUCCACGAUUAUGGGCUAAGUAUGCAGCUAAGUAUAAUGACCUCACAAGCCACGAUGUGCCCUUACCUGCCGCUGCCAAUGGACGGGAACGCGAUGGACUUGAGCUUUUUAUCGUCUGCCAGGGCCAGACAGUUCUUCACCGUCUUUUCCAGAAGUUCCUCACACUUGUCUGCACCCCAGACCGGACUGUUACAGUGGAUCACAAACUUGGCAGGCAGGCCGUGACCUGCGCUGACAGCAGCUGGAGGAGACAAGACAGGAACAGUGAGUUCUGUCCCUCACACACCCAACACAGCGCCCUCCAGCUGCAGCGCGCCCCCAGGCUCCCCUGUGGCCUGCAUCCAGGGAGCGCUGCAGCUGCCUGCCAUCUUGUGCUUCUGAUGUCCCCCUAGAAACUGCUCACCAGCGAGUCUUCUCGGGAAACACCAGGCCAAGAGCCACCCUUGGAAAGCUGGCAUUGAGAUGCACCACCACUAAGAAUUCUAGCCAAGAUUACAGCCAGCCCUCUCUGUACAUCCUCCCAGAGGCGGACCCUGAACCUCCUAACUUGACUGUGUCAGAAUGUUUGCAGCCUCAAAUUCGCCUCUGGGGAUCUCUAAGCCCCCUUCCUCCUGUGAACUCCUGUACACAUAAUUAUGAUGUGUCUAUAAAUCUCCCCGGCAGAGUUCAGGAUAAACCUAUUAGGAAAGCAACUCCAUUUAAUGAGCCACUAAGCAACAUGACUGGCAGCUCUGGUGCCCUCUUCUCCUCCUGAACUGAUCUUCGUUUUUGACAGAAUUAAAUUGUUCUUUCAUG
Prionailurus viverrinus (fishing cat) is the source of this 7082-nucleotide long non-coding RNA. RefSeq lists it as uncharacterized. The record is from RefSeq and is a predicted model, not a curated record. Lineage: Eukaryota; Metazoa; Chordata; Mammalia; Carnivora; Felidae. The transcript is spliced from 7 exons.